Molecule: transfer RNA, 84 nt
Filed under: Rhipicephalus microplus (southern cattle tick)
Lineage: Eukaryota; Metazoa; Arthropoda; Arachnida; Ixodida; Ixodidae
Description: tRNA-Leu
Rfam family: tRNA
About the family: Transfer RNA (tRNA) molecules are approximately 80 nucleotides in length. Their secondary structure includes four short double-helical elements and three loops (D, anti-codon, and T loops).
Source: Rfam by way of RNAcentral
GUUAGGAUGGCCAAGUGGUCAAAGGUGACAGAUUUAAGCUCUCGUCCUCGUUAGAGGGCGUGGGUUCGAACCCCACUUCUGACA